RNAcentral lists this ribosomal RNA (316 nucleotides) under uncultured bacterium. Its description in RNAcentral is "bacterial SSU rRNA". It matches the Rfam family "Bacterial small subunit ribosomal RNA", at positions 28 to 334 of the family's 1533-position model. The record is from RNAcentral.
GACGAACGCUGGCGGCGUGCCUAAUACAUGCAAGUAGAACGCUGAGGACUGGUGCUUGCACUGGUCUAAGGAGUUGCGAACGGGUGAGUAACGCGUAGGUAACCUACCUCACAGCGGGGGAUAACUAUUGGAAACGAUAGCUAAUACCGCAUGACAAUAGGGUACACAUGUACCCUAUUUAAAAGGGGCAAAUGCUUCACUAUGAGAUGGACCUGCGUUGUAUUAGCUAGUUGGUAAGGUAACGGCUUACCAAGGCGACGAUACAUAGCCGACCUGAGAGGGUGAUCGGCCACAAGGGGACUGAGACACGGCCCUU